This 401-nucleotide ribosomal RNA is filed under the name uncultured bacterium. RNAcentral's name for it is "bacterial SSU rRNA". It matches the Rfam family "Bacterial small subunit ribosomal RNA", at positions 357 to 775 of the family's 1533-position model. The record is from RNAcentral.
GGGAAUUUUGCGCAAUGGGGGAAACCCUGACGCAGCAACGCCGCGUGCGGGACGAAGGCCCUCGGGUUGUAAAGCUCUAUCAGCAGGGAAGAAAAUGACGGUACCUGACUAAGAAGCCCCGGCUAACUACGUGCCAGCAGCCGCGGUAAUACGUAGGGGGCAAGCGUUAUCCGGAUUUACUGGGUGUAAAGGGAGCGUAGACGGAAUUGCAAGUCUGAUGUGAAAAUCCGAGGCUCAACCCCGGAACUGCAUUGGAAACUGUAUUUCUAGAGUGUCGGAGAGGCAAGUGGAAUUCCUGGUGUAGCGGUGAAAUGCGUAGAUAUCAGGAGGAACACCAGUGGCGAAGGCGGCUUGCUGGACGAUGACUGACGUUGAGGCUCGAAAGCGUGGGGAGCAAACAG